UUACAUGAGGGAGAGCCUGGCGGACGUUGCAGCUCUUCGAGGUUUCUUUCUGGCUGGGCUAGUCAGCGCAUCCACAAGCACUGUCUCAUCCAUUGUGAACUCUCAUGCAGCAAUUUUCUACAUUGACAUUGUCUCACCAUAUUUGAAGAUAAGUGAGCAGCGAGCGACUAACAUCAUGCGUCUGCUAGCUCUGGUCAGUGGUACAGUGAUGACACUGUACGCGAUAGUGAUGCCACUGAUGGGAACAGCAACAAGAGUG
Molecule: long non-coding RNA, 259 nt
Organism: Rhipicephalus microplus (southern cattle tick)
Lineage: Eukaryota; Metazoa; Arthropoda; Arachnida; Ixodida; Ixodidae
Source: RefSeq, a predicted model, not a curated record